GAGCGAACGCUGGCGGCAGGCUUAACACAUGCAAGUCGAGCGCCCGUAGCAAUACGGGAGCGGCAGACGGGAGAGUAACACGUGGGAACAUGCCCUUCGGUUCGGAAUAACUCAGGGAAACUUGAGCUAAUACCGGAUACGUCCGUAAGGAGAAAGAUUUAUCGCCGAAGGAUUGGCCCGCGUCCGAUUAGCUUGUUGGUGAGGUAACGGCUCACCAAGGCGACGAUCGGUAGCNGGUCUGAGAGGAUGAUCAGCCUCACUGGGACUGAGACACGGCCCAGACUCCGUACGGGAGGCA
Molecule: ribosomal RNA, 298 nt
Filed under: uncultured bacterium
Lineage: Bacteria
Description: partial 16S ribosomal RNA
Rfam family: Bacterial small subunit ribosomal RNA
Source: RNAcentral